Molecule: ribosomal RNA, 449 nt
Filed under: uncultured bacterium
Lineage: Bacteria
Description: partial 16S ribosomal RNA
Rfam family: Bacterial small subunit ribosomal RNA
Source: RNAcentral
AACGAACGCUGGCGGCAUGCCUAACACAUGCAAGUCGAACGAGACCUUCGGGGCUAGGGGCGCACGGGUGCGUAACGCGUGGGAAUCUACCCUUGGUUUCGGAAUAACAGUUAGAAAUGACUGCUAAUACCGGAUGAUGACGUAAGUCCAAAGAUUUAUCGCGCAAGGAUGAGCCCGCGUAAGAUUAGCUUGUUGGUGGGGUAAUGGCCUACCAAGGCAACGAUAUUUAGCUUGUCUGAGAGGAUGAUCAGCCACACUGGGACUGAGACACGGCCCAGACUCCUACGGGAGGCAGCAGUGGGGAAUAUUGGACAAUGGGCGAAAGCCUGAUCCAGCAAUGCCGCGUGAGUGAUGAAGGCCUUAGGGUUGUAAAGCUCUUUUACCAGGGAUGAUAAUGACAGUACCUGGAGAAUAAGCUCCGGCUAACUCCGUGCCAGCCGCCGCGGUAA